This 530-nucleotide ribosomal RNA is filed under the name uncultured bacterium. RNAcentral's name for it is "bacterial SSU rRNA". It matches the Rfam family "Bacterial small subunit ribosomal RNA", at positions 108 to 624 of the family's 1533-position model. The record is from RNAcentral.
GAGUAACACGUGGGCAACCUGCCUGUAAGUUGGGGAUAACUCCGGGAAACCGGGGCUAAUACCGAAUGAUAAAGUGUGGCGCAUGCCACGCUUUUGAAAGAUGGUUUCGGCUAUCGCUUACAGAUGGGCCCGCGGUGCAUUAGCUAGUUGGUAGGGUAAUGGCCUACCAAGGCAACGAUGCAUAGCCGACCUGAGAGGGUGAUCGGCCACACUGGGACUGAGACACGGCCCAGACUCCUACGGGAGGCAGCAGUAGGGAAUCUUCCGCAAUGGACGAAAGUCUGACGGAGCAACGCCGCGUGUAUGAAGAAGGUUUUCGGAUCGUAAAGUACUGUUGUUAGAGAAGAACAAGGAUAAAAGUAACUGCUUGUCCCUUGACGGUAUCUAACCAGAAAGCCACGGCUAACUACGUGCCAGCAGCCGCGGUAGUACGUAGGUGGCAAGCGUUGUCCGGAUUUAUUGGGCGUAAAGCGCGCGCAGGCGGUCUUUUAAGUCUGAUGUGUAAGCCCCCGGCUUAACCGGGGAGGGUC